RNAcentral lists this microRNA precursor (187 nucleotides) under Oryza brachyantha (malo sina). Its description in RNAcentral is "MIR812 microRNA precursor family". It matches the Rfam family "MIR812 microRNA precursor family". Lineage: Eukaryota; Viridiplantae; Streptophyta; Magnoliopsida; Poales; Poaceae. The record is from Rfam by way of RNAcentral.
AAUAAAUCAAUCUUUCACUUUUUACGUAUAAUAUUUGACUCUUCGACUUAUUUGAAAAACUUUUAUGAUUAAUAUUUUUAUUUUUAUUAGAUAAUAAAUCGUGAAUAGUAUUUUACAUGUAACUAAUUUUUUAUUUUUUAAAAAUUUUUUAAAUAAGACGAAUGAUCAAACGCUGGACACGAAAACC